This 301-nucleotide ribosomal RNA is filed under the name uncultured bacterium. Its description in RNAcentral is "partial 16S ribosomal RNA". It matches the Rfam family "Bacterial small subunit ribosomal RNA", at positions 509 to 807 of the family's 1533-position model. The record is from RNAcentral.
CAGUAGCCGCGGUAAUACGUAGGUGGCAAGCGUUGUCCGGAAUUAUUGGGCGUAAAGGGCUCGCAGGCGGUUUCUUAAGUCUGAUGUGAAAGCCCCCGGCUCAACCGGGGAGGGUCAUUGGAAACUGGGAAACUUGAGUGCAGAAGAGGAGAGUGGAAUUCCACGUGUAGCGGUGAAAUGCGUAGAGAUGUGGAGGAACACCAGUGGCGAAGGCGACUCUCUGGUCUGUAACUGACGCUGAGGAGCGAAAGCGUGGGGAGCGAACAGGAUUAGAUACCCCCGUAGUCCCUGUCUCUUAUAC